Molecule: long non-coding RNA, 447 nt
Organism: Cucumis sativus (cucumber)
Lineage: Eukaryota; Viridiplantae; Streptophyta; Magnoliopsida; Cucurbitales; Cucurbitaceae
Exons: 2
Source: RefSeq, a predicted model, not a curated record
CCGCGUCUGUCUUCACCUCCGUGAAGCCGUCGAUGCAUACAUCUUGUGAAGCCCGGUCGCCGCGUCAGAUCGUCGAUCGAUUUUGAGGCAGCCGCCACGUCUCCUUUGGCCGACCGCUGACCGACCCACACUUAGGAUUUUUGCUGCGAGUUCGACAGUCGUGCGUUGAGGUGUUGGGAGUAACGUUGGGCUCCCUUAAAUUCACAACCAAUAUAUGAAUUGUUGAGGGUUCAGUUCGCCAAUACUUCGGAUUGUUUCGAGGACGUUAGUUGAUUAAGGAGCUUCCCUAACUUUGAGGUAAGGGAUUUUCUACUGGACUCACUUAUGAUUGUGAAUUGUAUGUCUGUAUGAUUGUCUCUGACUGAGUAAAGAUGUUGAGAUGAUAUAUAUAUAUACACGUAUGGAUGUAGAUUCGGUGUUGAAUGUAUACUGUGGAUUGACUGAAAA